RNAcentral lists this ribosomal RNA (2902 nucleotides) under Escherichia coli. RNAcentral describes it as "23S ribosomal RNA". It matches the Rfam family "Bacterial large subunit ribosomal RNA". The record is from RNAcentral. Lineage: Bacteria; Pseudomonadati; Pseudomonadota; Gammaproteobacteria; Enterobacterales; Enterobacteriaceae.
UUAAGCGACUAAGCGUACACGGUGGAUGCCCUGGCAGUCAGAGGCGAUGAAGGACGUGCUAAUCUGCGAUAAGCGUCGGUAAGGUGAUAUGAACCGUUAUAACCGGCGAUUUCCGAAUGGGGAAACCCAGUGUGUUUCGACACACUAUCAUUAACUGAAUCCAUAGGUUAAUGAGGCGAACCGGGGGAACUGAAACAUCUAAGUACCCCGAGGAAAAGAAAUCAACCGAGAUUCCCCCAGUAGCGGCGAGCGAACGGGGAGCAGCCCAGAGCCUGAAUCAGUGUGUGUGUUAGUGGAAGCGUCUGGAAAGGCGCGCGAUACAGGGUGACAGCCCCGUACACAAAAAUGCACAUAUUGUGAGCUCGAUGAGUAGGGCGGGACACGUGGUAUCCUGUCUGAAUAUGGGGGGACCAUCCUCCAAGGCUAAAUACUCCUGACUGACCGAUAGUGAACCAGUACCGUGAGGGAAAGGCGAAAAGAACCCCGGCGAGGGGAGUGAAAAAGAACCUGAAACCGUGUACGUACAAGCAGUGGGAGCACGCUUAGGCGUGUGACUGCGUACCUUUUGUAUAAUGGGUCAGCGACUUAUAUUCUGUAGCAAGGUUAACCGAAUAGGGGAGCCGAAGGGAAACCGAGUCUUAACUGGGCGUUAAGUUGCAGGGUAUAGACCCGAAACCCGGUGAUCUAGCCAUGGGCAGGUUGAAGGUUGGGUAACACUAACUGGAGGACCGAACCGACUAAUGUUGAAAAAUUAGCGGAUGACUUGUGGCUGGGGGUGAAAGGCCAAUCAAACCGGGAGAUAGCUGGUUCUCCCCGAAAGCUAUUUAGGUAGCGCCUCGUGAAUUCAUCUCCGGGGGUAGAGCACUGUUUCGGCAAGGGGGUCAUCCCGACUUACCAACCCGAUGCAAACUGCGAAUACCGGAGAAUGUUAUCACGGGAGACACACGGCGGGUGCUAACGUCCGUCGUGAAGAGGGAAACAACCCAGACCGCCAGCUAAGGUCCCAAAGUCAUGGUUAAGUGGGAAACGAUGUGGGAAGGCCCAGACAGCCAGGAUGUUGGCUUAGAAGCAGCCAUCAUUUAAAGAAAGCGUAAUAGCUCACUGGUCGAGUCGGCCUGCGCGGAAGAUGUAACGGGGCUAAACCAUGCACCGAAGCUGCGGCAGCGACGCUUAUGCGUUGUUGGGUAGGGGAGCGUUCUGUAAGCCUGUGAAGGUGUGCUGUGAGGCAUGCUGGAGGUAUCAGAAGUGCGAAUGCUGACAUAAGUAACGAUAAAGCGGGUGAAAAGCCCGCUCGCCGGAAGACCAAGGGUUCCUGUCCAACGUUAAUCGGGGCAGGGUGAGUCGACCCCUAAGGCGAGGCCGAAAGGCGUAGUCGAUGGGAAACAGGUUAAUAUUCCUGUACUUGGUGUUACUGCGAAGGGGGGACGGAGAAGGCUAUGUUGGCCGGGCGACGGUUGUCCCGGUUUAAGCGUGUAGGCUGGUUUUCCAGGCAAAUCCGGAAAAUCAAGGCUGAGGCGUGAUGACGAGGCACUACGGUGCUGAAGCAACAAAUGCCCUGCUUCCAGGAAAAGCCUCUAAGCAUCAGGUAACAUCAAAUCGUACCCCAAACCGACACAGGUGGUCAGGUAGAGAAUACCAAGGCGCUUGAGAGAACUCGGGUGAAGGAACUAGGCAAAAUGGUGCCGUAACUUCGGGAGAAGGCACGCUGAUAUGUAGGUGAAGUCCCUCGCGGAUGGAGCUGAAAUCAGUCGAAGAUACCAGCUGGCUGCAACUGUUUAUUAAAAACACAGCACUGUGCAAACACGAAAGUGGACGUAUACGGUGUGACGCCUGCCCGGUGCCGGAAGGUUAAUUGAUGGGGUCAGCGCAAGCGAAGCUCUUGAUCGAAGCCCCGGUAAACGGCGGCCGUAACUAUAACGGUCCUAAGGUAGCGAAAUUCCUUGUCGGGUAAGUUCCGACCUGCACGAAUGGCGUAAUGAUGGCCAGGCUGUCUCCACCCGAGACUCAGUGAAAUUGAACUCGCUGUGAAGAUGCAGUGUACCCGCGGCAAGACGGAAAGACCCCGUGAACCUUUACUAUAGCUUGACACUGAACAUUGAGCCUUGAUGUGUAGGAUAGGUGGGAGGCUUUGAAGUGUGGACGCCAGUCUGCAUGGAGCCGACCUUGAAAUACCACCCUUUAAUGUUUGAUGUUCUAACGUUGACCCGUAAUCCGGGUUGCGGACAGUGUCUGGUGGGUAGUUUGACUGGGGCGGUCUCCUCCUAAAGAGUAACGGAGGAGCACGAAGGUUGGCUAAUCCUGGUCGGACAUCAGGAGGUUAGUGCAAUGGCAUAAGCCAGCUUGACUGCGAGCGUGACGGCGCGAGCAGGUGCGAAAGCAGGUCAUAGUGAUCCGGUGGUUCUGAAUGGAAGGGCCAUCGCUCAACGGAUAAAAGGUACUCCGGGGAUAACAGGCUGAUACCGCCCAAGAGUUCAUAUCGACGGCGGUGUUUGGCACCUCGAUGUCGGCUCAUCACAUCCUGGGGCUGAAGUAGGUCCCAAGGGUAUGGCUGUUCGCCAUUUAAAGUGGUACGCGAGCUGGGUUUAGAACGUCGUGAGACAGUUCGGUCCCUAUCUGCCGUGGGCGCUGGAGAACUGAGGGGGGCUGCUCCUAGUACGAGAGGACCGGAGUGGACGCAUCACUGGUGUUCGGGUUGUCAUGCCAAUGGCACUGCCCGGUAGCUAAAUGCGGAAGAGAUAAGUGCUGAAAGCAUCUAAGCACGAAACUUGCCCCGAGAUGAGUUCUCCCUGACCCUUUAAGGGUCCUGAAGGAACGUUGAAGACGACGACGUUGAUAGGCCGGGUGUGUAAGCGCAGCGAUGCGUUGAGCUAACCGGUACUAAUGAACCGUGAGGCUUAACCUU